Molecule: long non-coding RNA, 339 nt
Organism: Gossypium raimondii (Peruvian cotton)
Lineage: Eukaryota; Viridiplantae; Streptophyta; Magnoliopsida; Malvales; Malvaceae
Exons: 3
Source: RefSeq, a predicted model, not a curated record
CUUCAUUGUUUGUAUCACCGAAAGUAGAAAAGAAAAGCUAGGUUUGAGAGCUUGAAAUAUUCGGCCCUUUUGAAAGCUUAAUUCAAGAUCAAGAAACCAAGAAAUCGGAUUUAGAUCGGGGGAAAUCAAAGGUAGUUGAGUAGCCGAUUUAUUAGUCGACGAUAUCCGAGAUUUUGGUGAUCGCUACGUGUUCGGGGAUCGUCAGCUAAGCUCAUCACACUAUCGGUGUCUUCUUUUGGUAUUUUGCUAAAUUGUUUUCAAGUAUAUGGCAUGUAUAGCAUAGUUAAAAAUGUUGAUUUUGAAACCAAUGUGUUUGUGUAAUUAAAAGCCAUGCGAAAA